GGCUGCCUGUGUGUCUGUCAUUGCUACUGGGACCCCUCGGGGAUACCCACCCCCUGGGAUUGGCCUUGGAUCCUGCUGGUCCUCUACUAGCCCAACAUUCUGCUCCUGUUUGUGGAUGUUCAACUCUGAAAGUCCUCAAACAAGCCCCUAUGUGGUCACAAAGUACCCCCCUGGUCACUCAGGUCUGGAGGACUCCAAGCACUCUUUGCUGGGGGCCAGGCUCAGGGGCCUGAUGUUUCGAAUCGCCUUUCUGAGGGCCUGUCCUGGCUCCCAGGUGACUGUGGGAGAUCCUGAGCUAUGCCCUUGGAGCACCCUUCGCCAACUCCAGGCACAGCCAGUGUCCCCACCCUGGUGGCCUCUCCCCCUUGAACAGGCACACUGUGGCCCUGAGGAUGAUGUGUGAUGAUGACUUGUUCCUGAUUUGCCUCCCAUCAGUUUGUAAGCCUCUGGCACAUAGAAGCAAGGGCAGGAAGUCUCAGGUGGCGCUGACGGAGCAGAGAAGAGACACACAGACCCAUGUGAGCCUUCACCCCCGGGCUGGGCUGGAGAGCGAUGCUGUUGGACUGAACAGGAGCCCAGUUGAUCGGGGCCUGGUGGAGGCGACAAAGCUGCCAGGCCCCAGCCUCGGAGCUCUUUGAUGGGCCUUUCAGGCCAGGUGACACUGACUCACCCAGUCACACAGAGGUUUCUCCAGCAUGAGUGUGGCCACAAUUUAGAGACUCUGGGAGUCGGGGUCCUUCACUUUGCAGGUGGGGGUUGGAUGCCCCGGCAGACAAGACCUCAGAGGACGGGAGAUGGGAGUCUUUUCAACACAUCCUAAGGCACCAGGGUGGCGGAGGCUUCGUGCAUAGUGAUAAUACACAAUGGA
RNAcentral lists this long non-coding RNA (868 nucleotides) under Homo sapiens (human). RNAcentral's name for it is "HSALNT0290561". The record is from RNAcentral. Lineage: Eukaryota; Metazoa; Chordata; Mammalia; Primates; Hominidae.